Molecule: ribosomal RNA, 252 nt
Filed under: uncultured bacterium
Lineage: Bacteria
Description: partial 16S ribosomal RNA
Rfam family: Bacterial small subunit ribosomal RNA
Source: RNAcentral
ACGUAGGGAGCGAGCGUUGUCCGGAAUCAUUGGGCGUAAAGAGCACGUAGGUGGAUCAAUUAGUCUGCUGUGAAAGUCAAAGGCUCAACCUUUGAAAGCCGGUGGAUACUGUUGAUCUAGAGUACGGAAGAGGCGAGUGGAAUUCCUGGUGUAGCGGUGGAAUGCGCAGAUAUCAGGAGGAACACCAAUAGCGAAGGCAGCUCGCUGGGACGUUACUGACACUGAGGUGCGAAAGCGUGGGGAGCAAACAGG